GAUGAACGCUGACAGAAUGCUUAACACAUGCAAGUCUUUGGCGAAGCUGUGCUCGCACAGCCUAGCCAAGGCGGACGGGUGAGUAACGCGUAAGGAACUUGCCCUGCAGUCAGGGAUAACAGACGGAAACGACUGAUAAGACCUGGUAAAGUCAGGCGGACUCAUGUCCAGCCUGAUGAAAAGAGAUGCUGCAGGAGAGCCUUGCGUCCUAUUAGCUUGUUGGUGGGGUAACGGCCCACCAAGGCGAUGAUAGGUAGCCGGCCUGAGAGGGUGGACGGCCACAAGGGGACUGAGAUACGGCCCUUACUCCUACGGGAGGCAGCAAUGGGGAAUAUUGGACAAUGGGGGCAACCCUGAUCCAGCAAUUCUGUGUGCACGAUGAAGGUUUUCGGAUUGUAAAGUGCUUUCAGCAGGGAAGAAAAAAAUGACGGUACCUGCAGAAGAAGCGACGGCUAAAUACGUG
This 463-nucleotide ribosomal RNA is filed under the name uncultured bacterium. Its description in RNAcentral is "partial 16S ribosomal RNA". It matches the Rfam family "Bacterial small subunit ribosomal RNA", at positions 28 to 507 of the family's 1533-position model. The record is from RNAcentral.